This 4892-nucleotide long non-coding RNA is filed under the name Malus domestica (apple). RNAcentral describes it as "long non-coding RNA (MDOM_LNC009000)". Lineage: Eukaryota; Viridiplantae; Streptophyta; Magnoliopsida; Rosales; Rosaceae. The record is from RNAcentral.
AUCGUUUGACCCAUAAUUGAGGUAAUUUUGUGUAAUUCACCCUCGAUUUUUUUAAGCUUGCUCCGGCUCGGCUCGCAUAAGAACCAAGCUAAGCUUAACUCGAGCUCGAAAAAAACUUAAUCAAACUAAACUUGAGUACAAUGAUAUUUUAUUUGGCUCAGCUCGUUUACAGCUCUAUUUUGAAAAUAAUACAAUGACAUUUUUAUGUGGUGUACAGGGAGCAAUAUUUUUUAAUUAUUAUUAUUUUUGGAAUACAUACGAGAUUUUUAGAACACAUACGAGAUUAUUAGAACACAUACGAGAUUAUCUAUAUUAAGUGGUGGAUGAGUGCACUAAGCCUCACAAUGAACUAACCACAAUAAUUUGAUUUGAAUUCACCUUUGGCGAGAAUUAUACUUAAAUAUUUUCACUUACAAAUAAAGAUGAAGAUCAUUGUACCGUAGUACUAAGUGACAAUUAUUUUUAAUUCUUGAAGUUUGUGUGAUAAUGAAAGUCCGUCGGGAUCCAAACUUUUGGAAAUUAAGGGAAGAGAUAGUAGUGGUGCUCAGUGGCGGAUCCAGGAAUCUUACCCCAAGGGGUCGCAGUGUAAAAGUUCAAAUAAAAAUUUAGGAUGGAAAAACAUAUUGAGAAUGAAAUCAUAGUACUUUCAUUCAUAAUUCAUAAUGGAAACAAUAUUACAAACUAUAAUUGUCCACGACGAGGUUUUCAUAUUUUUGAAAACGAAGCAUUAUAGCUUCAUUUUCAAUACAAGCAAAAAUAUCUCUCUCAAUAUAAACAAGCAAGCUAUCACUCAACCAUUGAUCUCCCAUUUUGUUCCUAAGUGGACCCUUAACAAUAUUCAUGACAGAAAAUGCUCUCUCCACUGAAGCAGUUGCAACUGGUAAAACUAAAGACAAUGUAAUGAGCAAAUAUACAUAAUUGAAUACUUGAUGCAUCAUUGUCUCCACCAUUUUUUUUGCAAGAUCACCAAUCCCUUCCAAUUGAGAGAAAUCACUACUGGAACACACAUAAUGAAUAUAAAUCUCUCAAGUUGAUCUUCAAGUGCCAAACGAUCUUCAUCCGAAAAGUCUUGAGGAUAAAAUUGAGCAAGACGAAGUAACUUUGGUUUAUCAAAAGCUACAAAUGAAUCUUUCGGACUCAAACAUGCCAUACAAAUAAGCAACUCGGUAUUUACCUCAUUAAAGCGAUCCUCUAACUCCGUAAUUUUCUCAUCAAUGACAUAAAUAAAGAGCUCCACACGAUAAUGAUGACGAUUUGUCUUUAUUGGAGCAUAACGCCUUGACCUCCCUGGAAGUAUAAAUGCCUCUUCCAUGUUAGGAACAUCAAUAUGAUGUUUUUCACAAAAAAGAAGAUACUUCAUCAACCAAUGCAUCGAACCCAUUAUUCCUCAUCCAAUAUAGCUUUUCCUUGCAUGAUUUCACUAAAGCCAUUACAUUCACAAUUUCUUGAUCUUUCCUUUGCAAUGCUUGUGACAAAUCAUUUGCGAGUCCCAAUAUGACUUUCAUCAAGAAAAGGUGAAACACAAACUCAAAAGUAAGUAUCACUCUCAUUAACGUAUUUGCUUCACCCGCACUUUCAUUGGGAUUAUCAUCAAUAACCAUUUGAAGCACAUGAACCACGGAUGAAAACAUAGAAAUGAUGCUAAUCAAGGUACCAUAGUGUGAGUUCCAUCGUGUGUCACCGGCACGUUUGAGACUUGUUUCUUGAUUUAAGCCUCGCCCCGUUAUAAGACAAUCAUUUUCAAAAGCUAUCACAAGCUCUUCUUGAAGUUGCCCUCUAAGUGAAUCACGCCGCUUACAAAAGAUGCUCCAACAUGAUUAACCACAUUAUUAGCCGUUGCAAAAAAAGAGGCAAUGUCUAUAUUAUUCUUUGCUACGGCAACAAGAGCUAGUUGAAGUUGAUGAGCAAAAGCAAUGAACAUAAUAUGCACAAGGUUGUUCUCUCAAUAUCUUUGUUUUAAGGCCAUUCAACUCACCUCUCAUAUUGCUAGCACCAUCAUAACCUUGUCCUCGUAGCUUGGAAAUGCUCAAACCGUAGCGAGAAAACAAUGUGUCAAUAGCAUCCUUUAGUGAACUUGAAGUAGUGUCGGUAACAUGUUGGAUACCCACAAAUCUUUCAAUUACAUGCCCGUUGUCAUCCACAUAACGCAACACCAUAGCCAUUUGCUCUUUCACAGACACAUCACGUGCUUCAUCCACCAAUAUUGAAAAGAAUUUAUCUUUUAGACCAUCCAUGAUAGCAUCAAGUGUUUCAAGGGCACAUGAAUUCACAAUUUCUUUUUGAAUGGAAGGAGCUAGUAAUUUGAGAUUCCCCGGAGCAUUUUCCAUCACAACUUCUCUAACUUUAUCAUUAUUAUCUGCAAGGAAUUGCAAUAACUCCAAGUAAUUUCCCCUAUUGCUUGAAGUGGCACUUUCAUCAUGGCCACGAAAAGGAAGACCUUGUCGCAAUAAAAAACUUAGUGCACUUGAUUGAAGCAAUCAAGCAUGUGCGAUAAGCCUUACGAGUUUGGUCAGAGUGUUUGCUCACUGCCGUUUCAAUAUGUGUAGCUUGAUUCAUCAAAUUUGUAGCAGCUUCUCUAGCCUUAUUAUGAACACUCCCAACCGGUCCAACAUGCAUCUUAAAUCUUUCUCUCCCUUUCUUCCAAUUCUUAAAUCCAUCUCCAGUGAAAGCUUCACUACCCACUUGUUCAAAAUUGGUUUUAAAGAGAUAGCAAUAGAGACAAAAUGCCGCAUCUUUAGAUACACUAUACUCCAACCAAUCAAACUCAUCAAACCAUUGGGGAAUGAAGCGUCGAUUAAUUCCCGACAUAUUAGUUAUUGGGAAAUUAUGACCUCUAGGUUGACAAGGUCCUUUUUGUAGAUAUAAUCUUCGGACCUCAUCUCUCAUAUUAGCGUCAUAAUCUAUUAUUCGAGUUCUUAAUCCAGGAUCCGCUUGAAGAUUACCCAAAACAUCAUCAUCUAACUGACUUUGUCUUGAACUUGGAGUUCUUGAACUACCAACAGUAUUUGAACUAUCAACAUUAUUCGAACUACCCGAACCCGAUGAUGACUUUCUCUUAAAAAACCGUUCCAUAAUAAUGCUUGCUACAUAUACAAAAUAUUCAAAAUAAAUACUCACAAUAUAAACAAACCAUAAACAUAAUCAAAAUAAAUAUGAAUUGGAUUUUCAAUUAAAUUAAAUAUCUCAUCUUGCAUUCUAAUUUCUACAUAUACAAAAUAAUGAAAAUAAAAACUCACAAUAUAAACAAACCAUCAAUAUAAUCAAAAUAAAUAUGAAUUGAAUUUCAAUUAAAUUAAAUAUAUUCUACAUAUACAAAAUAUUCAAAAUAAAUACUCACAAUAUAAACAAACCAUAAACAUAAUCAAAAUAAAUAUGAAUUGGAUUUUCAAUUAAAUUAAAUAUCUCAUCUUGCAUUCUACAUAUACAAAAUAAUGAAAAUAAAAAAUCACAAUAUAAACAAACCAUCAAUAAAAACAAACCAAUAAAAACUCACAAUAUAAACAAAUCAUCAAUAUAAACAAACCAUCAAUAAAAACUCACAAGAUAAAUAUGAAUUGAAUUUCAAUUAAUUAAAUAUAUUCUACAUAUACAAAAUAUUCAAAAUAAAUACUCACAUCACAAUAUAAAAACCAAGGGAGGAGAUGGAGUUGGAGCCGCCAGCAGAGGAGGGAGGAGAUGGAGUUCACGUUGGGGGCGGCAGCAGCUAUGGAGGAGAGGAGUUGAGGAUUUGGGGGGAUUGAGUUAGGGUUGAAGGAUGAAAAUUUGGGGCUUUUAAUUGUAUUGGGAUCGGGUAGGAAGGGCUGGGAUGGGGAGGGACACGGUGGGAAUUUUUUUUUUUUUUUUUUUUUUUUUCGGCCUGGCCCAAAACGACGUCGUUUUGGCCAGGUCAUUUAAAAAAAUUUCCUGGGCCAAAACGACGUCGUUUUGCCCAGGUUUUUUCAAAAUCAAAACUGGCGCACAGCGCCUUCGUCUUCUUCGUUCGUCCUCUUGCCCAGAAAACCGACGACUCCAACGGCAACGGGGUCGCACCAGGGGUCGCCCCACCAUCUCCAAGGGGUCUCGAAGGUUGCUUCCAUGGCUUCCAAGGGGUCGCGCGACCCCAAUGACCCCACUGUGGAUCCGCCACUGGUGGUGCUAGUGGCGGAGCCAAGAUUUUAUAAUAACAGGGUCAUAAUCUAAGCUCCAAAAAAGUAAUUAUACUUUCAUUUAUAUUGUCAAUGAUGUGUUCUCAUAUUUUAAGAAACGUCAUAUUACACAAAGAGAAAAUGGGAAAAAAUUACUAAUAUAGAGCCAAAAAAGAAGACUAUGAGUUAAACACACAAUAAAGAAGAAUAGAGGAAAUCUUUUGUCAAAUGUGGAGAGUGAUUUUAACCAUGCUUAAUAAAAGUGUAGUGAGUCGUAUGUUCUUUCUUAGUUUUUUUACAAGGUUCAAGGGGAGAUUGAGUUCAGGUUAUAAGAUAAAUCAUAAGCAUUUAGUUGGGUUAUUGCGUUUAAUAGAGGUUUAAUUUAAGUUAGAGAAAAAGAGAGAUAGAGGAGAGAAAGAAGAAAAUACAAACAAAGAGUUGUUGUGCUACAAAUGGGAGAACGACUGAGAUAAAAUGAGCUUGGAGUGGAGUAAGACAACUAAAAAAAGGGCCAAAAAUCACCUACAAAUUUGCUAUAGGAGUCCAGACAAAUUAACAAGGGUAAAUACAUUGCGUUGUUGGGUUCAUGGGUGCUCAAUUUCCCUUUUAUUAAAAAUGUGUCUUAAAAGUCAAUCAUGAGGUGAUAGUUAACGAAUAUUUUACAUGCUAAAUUAAUUUAAUUUAAUUUAAAGGCAAGAUUAUUAUUUAAUGUGGCCUCAUUAAAUGUUUUAGUCCUUCGUUGUUGGCUCGCCUUCAUUCUUAAGGACU